GGAAUAUUGGUGAAUGGGCGAAAGCCCGAACCAGCAACGCCGCGUGUGCGAUGAAGGCCUUCGGGUUGUAAAGCACUUUUCACCGGGAAGAGGAAGGACGGUACCGGUGGAAUAAGCCUCGGCUAACUACGUGCCAGCAGCCGCGGUAAAACGUAGGAGGCGAGCGUUAUCCGGAUUUACUGGGUGUAAAGCGCGUGCAGGCGGCGCGUUAAGUUGGGUGUGAAAGCUCCUGGCUCAACCGGGAGAGGUC
RNAcentral lists this ribosomal RNA (250 nucleotides) under uncultured bacterium. RNAcentral's name for it is "partial 16S ribosomal RNA". It matches the Rfam family "Bacterial small subunit ribosomal RNA", at positions 358 to 624 of the family's 1533-position model. The record is from RNAcentral.